RNAcentral lists this long non-coding RNA (346 nucleotides) under Homo sapiens (human). Its description in RNAcentral is "non-protein coding lnc-MAP9-3:1". The record is from RNAcentral. Lineage: Eukaryota; Metazoa; Chordata; Mammalia; Primates; Hominidae.
CCCCUGGGGCUGGGCUGAGUGCAGAUCUGCUGGCCCUGCUCUACAGCACGUGGGGGCUCUACCUGUACGCUACCAUCUGUUGCUUCCUGGUGGUGGUGGCCUGCUUCCUCAAGAGGAGGGCAGAUCUGCUCCUGCCAGCCCCCCACAGGACCCAGCAUGUGUCCUCUGCUUUGACCUCAGCAGAUCACAAGAUGGAAGUCACAAUUACAAGUGGAAGCACCCCGUCGGUGUGCCACUCGAGUCAGCAGUGACCUGCAGCUUCUGCUUCCUGGAGUGUGGGGUGCCCACCCAGGAGAGCAUGGAAAGGCGCACACCCCUGACCUUGAGGGUGCUGGGAGAUGGGGGC